AAUCAAUGUAAUAGAUACCAAUUCAGUUAGAAAGUUUUAGUAUUCAUGCUUAAACCCUCUUAAGCAACAAAGGGAUCUGCUCACCCAAUGAUACUCCACAACGAGGAUAAAGCAUUUACUGAUGAUUAGAGAUGGAGAAUCAAAAGUACAUAGAAACUUUUACAGGUCUAGAAUCCAGAAGGAGUGCAAGAAUGAAUGAAAGACAGAUCUUUGAAAAAAAUAAAAAAAAAGAAAAAGAAAACUUGAUAGGUAAAGUUUAUUUACAUUUCCAGUGCAUACAUUUUUAUAUGGAAACUAUAGAAUGAUGAGCGAAAUUUCAGACCACAAGUGGAAAAGAUAACUUAGAAACAGAGAACUUUCAAAAACUUUGACUACAAAACUUUGAUAUGUCAGCAAAUGAAGACAUAUCAACCUUUUUCCAAAAAUUGAAGAAUUGAACACAGCAGCUGCUCCCACGUGAAUAUACCUGCAACCAAGUUUCAACUUGAAAUCAACUAACAGGAUAGCAAAAGGUAUUAAUUAGAAUUACACUCUCCAGUCUCUACAGGAUUUUUUUUUUUCGCAGACCUAGUUCUCCGCUACACACGCAUAACAUGAGAUGUAUUAUUUAAUGUUCAGAACACCUUUGACAAACUUAAUAAAUAUGCAGUGCAGAAAGGAGAGUUAAACAACGUUUCUACAAAAGAAAGGGGAAAAAGAAAAGAGGAACAAAGCAGAAACUCAUAAGAUUUGUUCAUUCAUUUUGAUUUGUCAACCAAUAGUGCAAAUACAAAUGGCUCCUGUCUCUAAUCAUGGAAGGAAGGAAUUCCUCUCCAUCAAAUGUACAAACACACACAUGCAUGUGCAUGCACAGUGUACAACACUUCAACUCUUAAGUCAUUAAUGAUCCUAUCUUCUUUGAUAAAUUGCCUUACUUCCACAUUUUAUUGCUAAAUGCUAAUGUUAUACUGUUUUAAAUACACAUCAGUAUAUUUGACUCCAGUUAUAUUUACCAAACUCUAAAUUCCAAUUAGAAAUUACAGAAAUUAAAAAAAGGAAAAAGAUGCUUCAGUGAUUAAUUUGAUUUAAGAAAAUAACUAUAUUUUGAUAAUUGUCUUAUUGUAUUUUAGUGAGAAAAAGGAAAGGAAGAAAAAACCACUAAACAUUGCAUAUUCAGAUUAAAAUAAUAUAUUAGAAUGCUGCGAAUAAUCAUUAUUCCUGAACAAGCCCAAGGCUUAGAAUUACUAAACAUAGAUCCAAAGUCCUUGGAUGUAAUGACAUUUAGAUCAUGAUCUCCAGAAU
This 1281-nucleotide unclassified non-coding RNA is filed under the name Hevea brasiliensis (rubber tree). The record is from RNAcentral. Lineage: Eukaryota; Viridiplantae; Streptophyta; Magnoliopsida; Malpighiales; Euphorbiaceae.